GCCUUGUUCCCUCUAUUUAUUGUUCCGAACGGAACGCGUCAGUGAAAUCCACCCUCACAGAGCGUAGCCAAUCACCUUUAGAAUUUCAACAGGAACUAGGCGGAUCAUUUGACGACGAGCCCACUCAUACACCUCAUGACCUAAAGCUAAGAUGAUUUAUUAUAUUAACAAGAGAGACGAGUGACCACUCUAACAAUGGAAAUACAUGUGCUCAACGAUUGAAGACAGACAAGAUUCUAACCAAUGAGUGGGCAGAACCACCUGCAACUGGACAAGGACAUGUAUAAGAUAUCUGGUUUCCAGAAUUGGGAAUGAAGAGAGUACUGCCAAUACCAGGGUGUCACGUCUGGAGGAAACCUGGCACCAUCCCUACGGUGAAUCAUGGUGAUGGCAGCAUCAUACUGUGGGAAUGUUUUUCAGCGGCAGGGGACUGGGAG
Salmo salar (Atlantic salmon) is the source of this 437-nucleotide long non-coding RNA. RefSeq lists it as uncharacterized. Lineage: Eukaryota; Metazoa; Chordata; Actinopteri; Salmoniformes; Salmonidae. The record is from RefSeq and is a predicted model, not a curated record.